UCUGGAUAAUGGAGCAAGGAGGGAAUUUUUGAGAUAUUCCCCCAAAAGAGGAUUUUCAAAUGAGUAAAUUCUUCCAGGAAUUCACAGCUGAAGCAGUGCAAGACUAAGACUCAAACCACAGUGAUGCAUGUUCAGGAGCGGCAGUUGACUUCAAAAGGCUAUCAAAAAAGGGAGGCAGCAUUAAAUCAGCAGAUUGUAGCUCACAAACAUAAAACUCAAGAUAUUGCUGCCUUCACUUCACCACUGAACCAGGAUGGGCUUUUAGCCAAAUGGAACUUUGUCUUUUUAAGUCAUCUCAUAUAAACCCUUCCUAAAGAACCCCCACUUUUCAUUCACAUUUUUCAGUUUUAAUUUUUAUAUCAAUUUCACUCAUAAUUUUCAUCAAAUUUGGAAAAUUAUCCCUUUUGAAGUGUGUGUGUGUGUGUGUAUACAUAAAAAACUGGUUGGGACUGUUCUCUGCUUGCCCAUAUUGAAUAUAAUCAGGUCAUGAUCAUUGAUCCCUUUGCAAUCAUCAACUUUCGGUUCAGUGAUUAAUUCAUCUUUAUCCAUCACAAGGAGUUCCACAAUAUAGUUACGUUAGGUUUGGGGCAAUCUCUUUUGUGUUAGGAAACUUAUCAAUAAUUUUUAGAACCUCUAAUGAUGUUUUACUACUGUCUCCAUGAGUCCCUCCUGCAGAUAUCUUCCUGAAGUUACCCAUAACAACAGUUUUUCUUUCCACACAUUACAGAUAGAUGCUUAAGAUGAAACUCAUAGUUUCCUCUGGUGUGAUUUGUAACAGACACCCCACCAAUACCCCCUCUUGGGCUUUGUUAGUUAGCACAUGAAUGCACAGGCAUCCAAGAUCCAGUUGUUCUGAGUUAUCAAUAACUCUCUAAAACAGGUAAUGGUGUCUUUCAUGUAGCAUACCUCCCACCUCUUUACCCUCUCUAUCCU
This is a long non-coding RNA of Dermochelys coriacea (leatherback sea turtle), 933 nucleotides long. RefSeq lists it as uncharacterized. The record is from RefSeq and is a predicted model, not a curated record. The transcript has 3 exons. Lineage: Eukaryota; Metazoa; Chordata; Testudines; Dermochelyidae.